UACGUAGGUGGCAAGCGUUGUCCGGAAUUAUUGGGCGUAAAGCGCGCGCAGGUGGUUCCUUAAGUCUGAUGUGAAAGCCCACGGCUCAACCGUGGAGGGUCAUUGGAAACUGGGGAACUUGAGUGCAGAAGAGGAAAGUGGAAUUCCAAGUGUAGCGGUGAAAUGCGUAGAGAUUUGGAGGAACACCAGUGGUGAAGGCGACUUUCUGGUCUGUAACUGACACUGAGGCGCGAAAGCGUGGGGAGCAAACAGG
Molecule: ribosomal RNA, 253 nt
Filed under: uncultured bacterium
Lineage: Bacteria
Description: partial 16S ribosomal RNA
Rfam family: Bacterial small subunit ribosomal RNA
Source: RNAcentral